RNAcentral lists this ribosomal RNA (387 nucleotides) under uncultured bacterium. Its description in RNAcentral is "bacterial SSU rRNA". It matches the Rfam family "Bacterial small subunit ribosomal RNA", at positions 28 to 417 of the family's 1533-position model. The record is from RNAcentral.
GACGAACGCUGGCGGCGUGCUUAACACAUGCAAGUCGAGCGGUAAGGCCCUUCGGGUACGACGAGCGGCGAACGGGUAGAGUAACACGUGGGUGACCUGCCUCUAGCUCUGGGAUAAGCCUGGGAAACUGGGUCUAAUACCGGAUAUGACUCCACGGCGCAUGUUGUGGGGUGGAAAGCCUUGUGCGGCUGGAGAUGGGCCCGCGGCCUAUCAGCUUGUUGGUGGGGUGAUGGCCACCAAGGCGACGACGGGUAGCCGGCCUGAGAGGGCGACCGGCCACACUGGGGACUGAGACACGGCCCAGACUCCUACGGGAGGCAGCAGUGGGGAAUCUUGCGCAAUGGGCGAAAGCCUGACGCAGCGACGCCGCGUGAGGGAUGACGGCCU